UUAUUAUGAGAGUUUGAUCCUGGCUCAGGACGAACGCUGGCGGCGUGCCUAAUACAUGCAAGUCGAACGCUUCUUUCCUCCCGAGUGCUUGCACUCAAUUGGAAAGAGGAGUGGCGGACGGGUGAGUAACACGUGGGUAACCUACCCAUCAGAGGGGGAUAACACUUGGAAACAGGUGCUAAUACCGCAUAACAGUUUAUGCCGCAUGGCAUAAGAGUGAAAGGCGCUUUCGGGUGUCGCUGAUGGAUGGACCCGCGGUGCAUUAGCUAGUUGGUGAGGUAACGGCUCACCAAGGCCACGAUGCAUAGCCGACCUGAGAGGGUGAUCGGCCACACUGGGACUGAGACACGGCCCAGACUCCUACGGGAGGCAGCAGUAGGGAAUCUUCGGCAAUGGACGAAAGUCUGACCGAGCAACGCCGCGUGAGUGAAGAAGGUUUUCGGAUCGUAAAACUCUGUUGUUAGAGAAGAA
RNAcentral lists this ribosomal RNA (471 nucleotides) under Enterococcus faecalis. Its description in RNAcentral is "bacterial SSU rRNA". It matches the Rfam family "Bacterial small subunit ribosomal RNA", at positions 1 to 449 of the family's 1533-position model. Lineage: Bacteria; Bacillati; Bacillota; Bacilli; Lactobacillales; Enterococcaceae. The record is from RNAcentral.